This 260-nucleotide long non-coding RNA is filed under the name Malus domestica (apple). Its description in RNAcentral is "long non-coding RNA (MDOM_LNC018260)". The record is from RNAcentral. Lineage: Eukaryota; Viridiplantae; Streptophyta; Magnoliopsida; Rosales; Rosaceae.
GUGCAAGCAUGGAGACAUGAGGAUGGAUGUUUUUGAAGAUUAGAAGGCUAGAAAUCAGUAUGUGUGUGUGUGCAAGUGUGUUGACCUACAACUACAAACACUCAUCCACUACACCCAUUACAUCCACUCAUUACCAAACAUCUACCCACUACACCCAUUACAUCUACUCAUUACCAAACACUCAUCCACUACACCUAUUACAUCCACUCAUUACCAAACACUCAUCCACUACACCCAUUACAUCCACUCAUUACCAAACA